UAAGGAAUAUUGGGCAAUGGAGGCAACUCUGACCCAGCCAUGCCGCGUGAAGGAUGACGGCCCUCGUGGUUGUAAACUUCUUUUGUACGGGAAUAACCCUCCGAACGUGUUCGGAGCUGAAGGUACCGUAAGAAUAAGGAUCGGCUAACUCCGUGCCAGCAGCCGCGGUAAUACGGAGGAUCCAAGCGUUAUCCGGAUUUACUGGGUUUAAAGGGUGCAUAGGCGGAUUGAUAAGUCAGUGGUGAAAGCCUACAGCUUAACUGUAGAACUGCCAUUGAUACUGCCAGUCUGGAGUAUGGUUGAGGUAGCUGGAAUGUGUCAUGUAGCGGUGAAAUGCUUAGAGAUGACACAGAACACCAACGGCGAAGGCAGGUUACCAACCCAUUACUGACGCUGAGGCACGAAAGCGUGGGGAUCAAACAG
This 423-nucleotide ribosomal RNA is filed under the name uncultured bacterium. RNAcentral describes it as "bacterial SSU rRNA". It matches the Rfam family "Bacterial small subunit ribosomal RNA", at positions 355 to 775 of the family's 1533-position model. The record is from RNAcentral.